AAGAUCCCUGUAAUGGAAUCGGGGUUUUCCGUGCCAUGUCGGCAUUCUACGUAACUUAUCGGCACAUCCGUUACCUCUCGCCCGUUUCCGUAAACAGAUUUACGUUUUAUUUAUAAAUGAAUAAAUUAUCCAUAUAAUUAUAUCCAGUACAAAAAGAAUUUAGUUUUUGAUAAAAUGAAAAUGAAAUUAUCAAAAAGAAUAUGUUGUUUGUAAACGGAUAAUUCGUAAAAAACCCCGUUGCUGUGAAACCAGGUUGGGAAACCCCUAUAUGACGUCACGAUUUCAGAAAAUAGACCGCAGAAGUGAAAAUGAAAGUAAGAGACAGAAAAGGCCAUUACAAGGCCAAAAACAAACGCAAGUUGAGAAAAGAACCUAAUAUUCUUGUGGAUCAUAAUAACCCUCACGUAUUGAGCAUUUGUAAGUGCAAAAUUGGUAAUUGUCCAAUUUAUGAACACCGACAGAAGGGAUCGGCAGGUGGGUGGAGAAAAGCUAGACGGGUGAUUGAGUUCGACGUUUUAGUUAGAAAUUUAGCUCACUGCAAGGAAUGUCAUCUUGGAACUUUAUUCUCACAAGCGACAACAUUGUGGGGGAGCUGCAAAAUGGCUUGGUGGCUAUCUGUAUGUUAUGUGUUCGAAUUAAGCAGUGUUAAGAGUGAGGAGCUGUAAAUUUUGUUUCAUAUGGAACAACACACCACAACAAAACGAAGGCCGGGGAUGUCCUGCUUUGAAAUAAACACAAAGCUUGGAUUCGCAAUGAUUGACAGCAUUGGUGGGGCUGUCAAAGUUAACAAUUUCCUUGCCACUCUUGAUCUUAAGCUGAUAAGCCUAGAAAAUCUUAAGGAAAUUGAGAGAGGGCUGGUGAAGUGAUAGAAGCUGUCUGAGCAAAAUCACAGAGACGGUCAGCUGAAGAGGCUUACAAAUAAAGAAAUGGAGUAUUGGUCAUACAGCAGACUCAGAUAUACAGACCUUACCAGAUGCAGUUCUAAGGGAAAGUUCAAGCCAGUAAAGAUAGAAAAUCCUACAUUUAUAACAUUUGAUUUGGAAACUACAGAUCUAAUUUGAGGUUCACAGAUGCCACAUAUAACACAGAUUGCAGCUAAAGAAAUAAAGACUGCUGCUUCAUUUUAUCAGUAUGUAAUUCCUCCAAUGCCAAUAGCAGUAGAACCUCAACGAAUAACUGGCAUAAAAGUCACAGAUGAUGGUUAUAUGACUGUACAUAGUGAACAUGUUAAUAACUUAAAUGUACAUGAAUCUUUAGAUAAUAAAAUAAAUAAAUACAA
This is a long non-coding RNA of Ruditapes philippinarum (Manila clam), 1279 nucleotides long. RefSeq lists it as uncharacterized. The transcript has 4 exons. The record is from RefSeq and is a predicted model, not a curated record. NCBI's taxonomy places the organism in Eukaryota, Metazoa, Mollusca, Bivalvia, Venerida, Veneridae.